Molecule: transfer RNA, 72 nt
Filed under: Phytophthora infestans (potato late blight agent)
Lineage: Eukaryota; Oomycota; Peronosporomycetes; Peronosporales; Peronosporaceae
Description: tRNA-Pro
Rfam family: tRNA
About the family: Transfer RNA (tRNA) molecules are approximately 80 nucleotides in length. Their secondary structure includes four short double-helical elements and three loops (D, anti-codon, and T loops).
Source: RNAcentral
CCGCUUUUAGCUCAGUGGUCGAGCGUUGGCUUUGGAGGCCACAGGUCGGUGGUUCGAACCCGCCAGGGCACA